UGCAAGUCGAACGGUGACACUAGAGCUUGCUCUGGUUGAUCAGUGGCGAACGGGUGAGUAACACGUGAGUAACCUGCCCUUGACUCUGGGAUAACUCCGGGAAACCGGGGCUAAUACCGGAUACGAGACGCGACCGCAUGGUCGGCGUCUGGAAAGUUUUUCGGUCAAGGAUGGACUCGCGGCCUAUCAGCUUGUUGGUGAGGUAAUGGCUCACCAAGGCGUCCACGGGUAGCCGGCCUGAGAGGGCGACCGGCCACACUGGGACUGAGACACGGCCCACACUCCUACGGGAGGCAGCAGUGGGGAAUAUUGCACAAUGGGCGAAAGCCUGAUGCACCGACGCCGCGUGAGGGAUGAAGGCCUUCGGGUUGUAAACCUCUUUCAGUAGGGAAGAAGCGAAAGUGACGGUACCUGCAGAAGAAGCGCCGGCUAACUACGUGCCAGCAGCCGCGGUAAUACGUAGGGCGCAAGCGUUGUCCGGAAUUAUUGGGCGUAAAGAGCUCGUAGGCGGUUUGUCGCGUCUGGUGUGAAAACUCAAGGCUCAACCUUGAGCUUGCAUCGGGUACGGGCAGACUAGAGUGUGGUAGGGGUGACUGGAAUUCCUGGUGUAGCGGUGGAAUGCGCAGAUAUCAAGAGGAACACCGAUGGCGAAGGCAGGUCACUGGGCCACUACUGACGCUGAGGAGCGAAAGCAUGGGGAGCGAACAGGAUUAGAUACCCUGGUAGUCCAUGCCGUAAACGUUGGGCACUAGGUGUGGGGCUCAUUCCACGAGUUCCGCGCCGCAGCUAACGCAUUAAGUGCCCCGCCUGGGGAGUACGGCCGCAAGGCUAAAACUCAAAGGAAUUGACGGGGGCCCGCACAAGCGGCGGAGCAUGCGGAUUAAUUCGAUGCAACGCGAAGAACCUUACCAAGGCUUGACAUACACCGGAAUCAUGCAGAGAUGUGUGCGUCUUCGGACUGGUGUACAGUUGGUGCAUCGUUGUCGUCAGCUCGUGUCGUG
RNAcentral lists this ribosomal RNA (1001 nucleotides) under Sanguibacter sp. 6_11. Its description in RNAcentral is "bacterial SSU rRNA". It matches the Rfam family "Bacterial small subunit ribosomal RNA", at positions 56 to 1069 of the family's 1533-position model. The record is from RNAcentral. Lineage: Bacteria; Bacillati; Actinomycetota; Actinomycetes; Micrococcales; Sanguibacteraceae.